GAUGACUCAUAGACUCGGUUGCACUUCGAAUGAGGUGGAAUCUUACCGAUUCUUCGCUAAAUGUCAAUCUCGUCAAUUACGAGGGCACGUCAAACUGAUUAUCUAUACCUGCAGGCAUGAAUGCAGCGUCCCCAACAAAAAGGACGUCAGUACAAAUAAUGUACGGAGUAUGUAGGCAGAACUGAAACAUAACUAUAAUUUAACAUUAAUUAAGGACAUGGAAGAAACAUGGCGUAAAGGACUCAACCUAUAAGUCUGGAUAGCUUUGUAAAUCAUGAAAUUUUAUAAUAUCAUGCAUAUUCCUAUGAAUGUCAUGUUAUGCAUAGAUCCUACGUACAUAACAUCAUCAAACCUCUGAGGGCAUCCCAUCAUAUCAUUUCAGUCAUUGUGGGCAAUAUCAUCAUCGUAUACCAGCUGAUCAGGUGGUGGUGCGUAUAUAACGUCGUAACCUUUUUCCAUAUCCCAUAUACAUAUAUAUAUGCGUAUAUAACGUCGUCUGAUUCAUGGGUAAAUGCACAUGUAAAUGAAUGCAAUGCAUGAGAAGUACGUUAAUAAAAUCUCUCGGAAUGUCAUAAGACAAUUAUGCCUUUGAGUAAUAUCAUGAAGUAAACUUUUUCAACUUACGUAUUUUUUUUAGAAACAUGAACAGAUGAUAAAAUAAUAGGACACAUGAGAAUUCAAGAAUAUAGGUACCUCUAAUACUUCUAUGAAUAGAAUCAUUUUUGGCGAAACUAGUUACUUCAAUGGUUAAAGAUGCAGUUUCAUGAUUUUUAUUUGAUAGGUUUAACUUUUAUGUUCUUACCGCUAAAACCGUUAAACUUUGGAAGAUAUGAGUUCAAAAUCCAAAGCUAAUAUUUGUUGGAAUUGUAGUGAUUUUUACGCAUACAUCUAUAUUUUGUGUCAAUAACGUUGGUUCAGAUAAACCCGGUAAUUAUACUCUACAUCCGCCAGUGAUUUUAGGCGUGCAUGAUGCUAGCUGGACUUGGAAAGGCGGAAACUUUCAAUUUCUCCGUCUGUCAGUUGAUUUACGCAACUUGACUUGCGACUUAAGCGUAAUGAUGUUUGGUUGGCGAUCAAUUCAUUCUAAAUAUUUAUCUUCAUUUCAUCAAAUCUGUGUCAAGUGGCCACCAUAUGACUUUAGAGAACAAAAUAACCCUUAAAUGGGUCAAAUUGUACCUUUAAUUUUUGCAUUCACCGUUUGUAUUUCUUUGUAAGAAACUAUACCAGUUUAAAUAUUGUUACUAUAGUUUCUCUUAUAAGUCAUUAUACUUUAGCAAAUUUGUACUAAAUCUUUUGAUAUAAUUUAGGUUGAUCAUAACUAUAGCAUACUGCACUUUCGAGGUCAUAUCCCUCCUCUUAAUUUAAUUAAAACUCCUUUCUUAAUCUAUCAAGAUUGUGGUUUGUAAAUUAUUAACAGAUUAGAAUUAGUUGAUAAUAUUGCAUAUAACAUAUAAUUUGUUAGUAAUUACUACCAACAGAGCCUAAGUCCGUUGGUAAUUUACCAACUAAUAUUGAAAUAGUUUGAAAAUUUACCAACAUACAGGUGAAAUUGGUUGGUAAAUUACAAACUAGUGUUGAACUUUUGGUAAAUUUAAUGACAGAUACUAAAUCAAUUUAUAUUUUGUGACAAAUCUAGCAUUUAGUGAUAAUUUUUAUGGCAAUCUCAUAAUACAGAGAAUAGUCUAGUCGUUGAAACUUAGUCGUGUCAUUUUUUUUAGUUUCGUUUAUAUCGUACGAAUCAUGUUAAAAGAAAAGAAGGGAUAGCCUUAACAUACCUGAGACGAUUCUCUAGACAAUACGUCUUUUGCGAAGAACACGUAAUACCAGAUAAAAGUAGAGAAAAAUCCUUACGAUAUUCUUGAGAAAGAUUGUAACAGAAAAUCUCUGACUCCACAACACUUCCACAUCUAUAGAUGGUUAAGAAAGUACAACCCUCUAGAUGUUAUGAAAAUUAAAACGUGAAAUCUCUUUAAUUUUUUUCCAGUUAAUGAAGCACCUCAAGCAACAUGCUACACAAACAAGCAAUGUACCACAACAAGGCCACCUGAAUAUCACAUUUUAUCGAAGUCCAGUGAACUUUCAUCGAAGAAAACCCAUUU
RNAcentral lists this long non-coding RNA (2099 nucleotides) under Nicotiana tabacum (common tobacco). RNAcentral's name for it is "long non-coding RNA (NTAB_LNC011647)". Lineage: Eukaryota; Viridiplantae; Streptophyta; Magnoliopsida; Solanales; Solanaceae. The record is from RNAcentral.